AAUUGGGUUACUUAUUGACUAGUUUUACAACCUUUGUAUUAUCAUGUGGGGCAUAUCAUUGAAAUAAUUGCAACUUUAGAGUAAAUAUCAUGGUGUUAUAAGACUAUAACUUGUAUUACUAUUGUCAUUAUGAUGCUUCUCUAUUGCAGCUAGAAUUGGGAAAAAUAUUUGAUGUUUCCUUUGGAUAAGAAUUGUGGUUGAUUGCUUU
RNAcentral lists this long non-coding RNA (208 nucleotides) under Panax ginseng (ginseng). RNAcentral describes it as "long non-coding RNA (PGIN_LNC001260)". The record is from RNAcentral. Lineage: Eukaryota; Viridiplantae; Streptophyta; Magnoliopsida; Apiales; Araliaceae.